Molecule: non-coding RNA, 85 nt
Organism: Thrips palmi
Lineage: Eukaryota; Metazoa; Arthropoda; Insecta; Thysanoptera; Thripidae
Source: the annotation of a RefSeq genome assembly
GCCAGGUUGGCCGAGUGGUCUAAGGCGCCAGACUUAAGUUCUGGUUCCCUUCAUGGGAUCGUGGGUUCGAACCCCACACCUGGCA